UGCCAAACCUCAGACUUUCUUCACACUUGAGCUCCAGAAACUUUACAGAGGAGGUUCUGUUCAUUGAUGAAUUUUGUGCUCACAAUUGAGAACCAACUAUGAAAGAUUUCCUUUUCCUUUUUCUUUCAGAUCAUUUCCCUUAUGGUUUUUUUUUUAAUUUUGUUUCAAAUUCUCUUCGUAAACAAGAUGAGCAGAAAAUAACUUCAUCGAGAGGCCGCCACUCUAUAAUUUCUUCACAACAAGAUGAACCUGGGCAAUGCCCCAGCACCAGCUGCCAGCCUUUGUCCAGAGGCGCACUACCGGGAGGCAGCGAGAAGACACAUGCGUGCCAGGUCCUCCUGCAUGACCUGAAGUACGCUUCCUUCAUGGAGAGGAGUGGAUACAGCUGACCCAAUUUAGUACCCUGUCGAUCCCUUUGUCAACCAUGUCCUGAAAGACCCAAUGGGAGGCAUUCCAGACACCACACAACAUUUUAAAUUCUUAGCUCCGUGUGCUCGGCACUGGUGCCACUUUCUUUUCUGUGGACACAAGCUCUCCUCACUCCAAGCACACUGCGACCUCACUGACACUUUGCUGCUUUCUUUGCCACUGUGUGCCACAUCUAAUUCUUUAUCCCUGAAGCACAAGAACAUACAAUCCUCUCCAUCACCUAUGGCAACAAGAAUGUGCUUUAGUGAUUUAUUUCAUUAUCUUUGGGGGGACACCAAGGGCUCAUAGCAGA
Molecule: long non-coding RNA, 721 nt
Filed under: Fukomys damarensis (Damara mole-rat)
Lineage: Eukaryota; Metazoa; Chordata; Mammalia; Rodentia; Bathyergidae
Description: lncRNA (ENSFDAG00000024277.1)
Source: RNAcentral